CUGCAGUAGCAUGAAGAGGUCUGAGGAAGCUGUGUGUCCCUCGAGAAAGCAAUUCUUUAUUGCCCAUCAAAGAUGAAUCCAUAGGGGAUCAUUAACAAGGAGAUCAUCCCAGAGAGCAGCUUCUAGAAUCACCAACCAACCUCAUGAAAUAAAGAAAUAAAGUAAACAAACAAGUAAAUAAAAACAGAUCUUUAUGGAUGUGGCAGAAAGCUUUGCAAGCCAAGAAAGUCUUCUAUCCAGGUGAUGCAAAUAACUGUAAAACUUCAGACUUCUUGAACUACAAAGAUGAACUCUGCCAACCCAAGUUCUAGUACUUCCUCUACUCCCAGCCUGACCCCCGUUGUUUCUUGGUUUCCUCGCUCCUUCUCUUUCUGUUUGACUCUUGGGAGUAAUAAACUCAGCCAAGUCCUACUACUUGAGCCCAUAUUUAAAUGCAGAACAA
This 442-nucleotide long non-coding RNA is filed under the name Pongo abelii (Sumatran orangutan). Its description in RNAcentral is "lincRNA". Lineage: Eukaryota; Metazoa; Chordata; Mammalia; Primates; Hominidae. The record is from RNAcentral.